This 237-nucleotide unclassified non-coding RNA is filed under the name Glomus sp. RNAcentral describes it as "partial contains 5.8S ribosomal RNA and internal transcribed spacer 2". The stretch from base 1 to 65 matches the Rfam family "5.8S ribosomal RNA", at positions 84 to 154 of the family's 154-position model. Lineage: Eukaryota; Fungi; Glomeromycota; Glomeromycetes; Glomerales; Glomeraceae. The record is from RNAcentral.
GUGAAUCAUCAAAUUUUUGAACGCAAAUUGCACUCUCUUCGGAGAGUAUGCCUGUUUGAGGGUCAGCCUAAAACAAAUCGACAUAGUUGCUGUUUCGCGGUGACAUUCGUCGGAAAUUGGGUCAUCUUAAACCUUUGGGUUUUAAGCGGCUUAAAAUUUUCUUUACGACGCCACGCACGUUUCUAAGAUUUACUUCUUACGUAUAAGUUAUCGAUUUUUAUUAGACUUUUCCGUUAC